GACGAACGCUGGCGGUGCGCUUAACACAUGCAAGUCGAACGGUAAGGCCCUUUCGGGGGUACACGAGUGGCGAACGGGUGAGUAACACGUGAGUAACCUGCCCUCAUCUCUGGGAUAACAGUCGGAGACGGUUGCUAAUACUGGAUAUGAGCUUGCAAGGCAUCUUGUGGGUUGGAAAGAUUUUUUUGGUUGGGGAUGGACUCGCGGCCUAUCAGCUUGUUGGUGAGGUAGUGGCUCACCAAGGCUUCGACGGGUAGCCGGCCUGAGAGGGCGACCGGCCACAUUGGGACUGAGAUACGGCCCAAACUCCUACGGGAGGCAGCAGUGGGGAAUAUUGCACAAUGGACGGAAGUCUGAUGCAGCAACGCCGCGUGCGGGAUGACGGCCUUCGGGUUGUAAACCGCUUUCAAUUGUGACGAAGCUUUUUGUGACGGUAGCAGUAGAAGAAGCACCGGCUAACUACGUG
This 466-nucleotide ribosomal RNA is filed under the name uncultured bacterium. RNAcentral's name for it is "partial 16S ribosomal RNA". It matches the Rfam family "Bacterial small subunit ribosomal RNA", at positions 28 to 507 of the family's 1533-position model. The record is from RNAcentral.